This 228-nucleotide ribosomal RNA is filed under the name uncultured microorganism. Its description in RNAcentral is "partial 16S ribosomal RNA". It matches the Rfam family "Bacterial small subunit ribosomal RNA", at positions 9 to 234 of the family's 1533-position model. The record is from RNAcentral.
GUAGUUUGAUCGUGGCUCAGAUUGAACGCUGGCGGCAUGCCUUACACAUGCAAGUCGAACGGCAGCAUGAUCUAGCUUGCUAGAUUGAUGGCGAGUGGCGAACGGGUGAGUAAUACAUCGGAACGUGCCCUGUAGUGGGGAUAACUAGUCGAAAGAUUAGCUAAUACCGCAUACGACCUGAGGGUGAAAGUGGGGACCGCAAGGCCUCAUGCUAUAGGAGCGGCCGAU